This 253-nucleotide ribosomal RNA is filed under the name uncultured bacterium. Its description in RNAcentral is "partial 16S ribosomal RNA". It matches the Rfam family "Bacterial small subunit ribosomal RNA", at positions 524 to 776 of the family's 1533-position model. The record is from RNAcentral.
UACGAAGGGAGCUAGCGUUGUUCGGAAUCACUGGGCGUAAAGCGCGUGUAGGCGGCCCGGUAAGUCCGCUGUGAAAGUCCAGGGCUCAACCCUGGGAUGCCGGUGGAUACUGUCGGACUAGAGUACGGAAGAGGCGAGUGGAAUUCCCGGUGUAGCGGUGAAAUGCGCAGAUAUCGGGAGGAACACCAAUUGCGAAGGCAGCUCGCUGGGACGUCACUGACGCUGAGACGCGAAAGCGUGGGGAGCAAACAGG